UUCCUGGUAGUCUAUCGUUUAGUGCAUGUUCCUGUUAUGCGCAAGAACUGGGUUCGACUCCCAGUCAGGGAG
Armillaria borealis is the source of this 72-nucleotide non-coding RNA. The record is from the annotation of a GenBank genome assembly. Lineage: Eukaryota; Fungi; Basidiomycota; Agaricomycetes; Agaricales; Physalacriaceae.